GGAGGAAGCCGAGGCGCGGCCAUCUUGAGUCUGUAAGGCUCCUGAGGUGCCGGGAGCGGCGGUGGCAGCCGGCAGGGCGAGGCCGGGCGGAAAGCGAGCCGGAGAAGGGAAAGCAGCCGGGCGUGGGCGCCUCCUCCGCGGCUCCCUCCAUGGUCGGCGCCUGCAGGCCGCGGCGGCCUGUCUUGCGCUCCAUCUCCGCUCCAUCCUCCUGCGCUGCUGCCUCUUCAGGGGCUGCCGGCCGCGCCGUGUCGAGCCCCCGGGGCUGAGCUCCGCGGCGCUGCGGCUGCGAGCGGCGAGGAGGCGCGGGGCCCGCGAGGCCCGUGAGGUGCCCUGAGGCUUGCGGCGGCGGCCAGCCGGCCCGCUUCCAGUGCGGCCGCCGGCGCUGGGGGAGAAUGAGCCCCGGGGCCCGCGGGCGCACGGCCCGGGCCAGGCCGGAGAUCUAGACUCCGGCCAGGGAGGGCAGGGCCCGGAGGCUCGCGGCCGCUGCUCGCCGGCCGCCCAAAGCUGGGCGGUUUUGUUUUCGCCUUGGCGUUGUGCGGAAUCAAAGCGCAAUAAGAUGUCCACUAGGACCCCUUUGCCAACGGUGAAUGAACGAGACACUGAAAACCACAUUUCACAUGGAGACGGGAGGCAAGAAGUCACCUCCCGCACCGGGCGCUCUGGAGCUCGGUGUAGAAACUCAAUAGCUUCCUGUGCAGAUGAACAGCCUCACAUCGGAAACUACAGACUGUUGAAAACAAUCGGCAAGGGGAACUUUGCAAAAGUGAAAUUGGCGAGACACAUCCUCACAGGCCGAGAGGUUGCAAUAAAAAUAAUUGACAAAACUCAGUUGAAUCCAACAAGUCUACAAAAGCUCUUCAGAGAAGUAAGAAUAAUGAAGAUUUUAAAUCACCCAAACAUAGUGAAGUUGUUCGAAGUCAUUGAAACGGAAAAAACUCUCUACUUAAUCAUGGAAUAUGCAAGUGGAGGUGAAGUAUUUGACUAUUUGGUUGCACAUGGAAGAAUGAAGGAAAAAGAAGCAAGAGCUAAAUUUAGACAGAUUGUUUCCGCAGUACAGUAUUGCCACCAAAAACGGAUUGUUCACAGAGACCUCAAGGCUGAAAAUCUGUUAUUAGAUGCGGAUAUGAACAUUAAAAUAGCAGAUUUUGGUUUUAGCAAUGAAUUUACUGUUGGCAGUAAACUAGACACGUUUUGUGGUAGUCCUCCAUAUGCAGCCCCUGAGCUCUUCCAGGGCAAGAAGUAUGACGGGCCAGAAGUCGACGUGUGGAGCCUCGGUGUCAUUCUCUACACCCUAGUCAGUGGGUCGCUUCCCUUUGAUGGUCAAAACCUGAAGGAACUGAGAGAGAGAGUACUCCGCGGGAAGUACAGAAUCCCUUUCUACAUGUCCACAGACUGCGAGAACCUUCUCAAGCGCUUCCUGGUGCUGAACCCAGUUAAACGGGGCACUCUCGAGCAAAUCAUGAAGGACAGGUGGAUCAAUGCAGGCCAUGAGGAGGAUGAGCUUAAGCCAUUUGUUGAACCAGAACUAGACAUCUCAGACCAGAAGAGAAUAGAUAUUAUGGUGGGAAUGGGAUAUUCCCAAGAAGAAAUUCAAGAAUCUCUUAGCAAAAUGAAAUACGAUGAAAUCACAGCUACUUACUUGCUACUGGGGAGGAAAUCUGCAGAGCUGGACGCUAGUGACUCCAGUUCUAGCAGCAACCUUUCACUUGCUAAGGUGCGGCCAAACAGUGACCUCAGCAAUAGCACUGGCCAGUCUCCUCAUCACAAAGGGCAGAGAAGUGUUUCCUCAAGUCAGAAGCAGAGACGGUACAGUGACCACGAAUGAACUCUUUAUUGUAGCUGGACCAGCUAUUCCUUCAGUUGUGGCAUAUCCAAAGAGGAGUCAGACCAGCACUGCAGAUAGUGACCUCAAAGAAGAUGGAAUUCCCUCCCGAAAAUCAAGCAGCAGUGCUGUAGGAGGGAAGGGGAUUGCUCCUGCCAGUCCCAUGCUUGGGAAUGCAGGCAAUCCCAAUAAAGCCGAUAUCCCUGAGCGCAAGAAAAGCCCUGCUGUGCCCAGUAGUAACACAGCAUCUGGUGGGAUGACACGGCGGAACACUUACGUUUGCAGCGAGAGAUGUGCAGCAGACAGACAUUCUGUGAUUCAGAACGGCAAAGAAAACAGCGCUAUUCCAGAUGAGAGAACUCCAGUUGCUUCAACCCACAGUAUUAGCAGUGCGACCACCCCAGAUCGCAUCCGCUUUCCAAGGGGCACAGCCAGCCGUAGCACUUUCCAUGGCCAACCUCGGGAGCGGCGAACCGCAACAUAUAAUGGCCCACCUGCCUCACCCAGCUUGUCCCAUGAAGCCACACCGCUGUCUCAGACUCGAAGCCGAGGUUCCACUAAUCUUUUUAGUAAAUUAACUUCCAAACUCACAAGAAGAAACAUGUCAUUCAGGUUUAUCAAAAGACUUCCAACUGAAUAUGAGAGGAACGGGAGAUAUGAGGGCUCAAGUCGCAAUGUGUCUUCAGAGCAGAAGGAUGAGAACAGAGAGGCCAAGCCCCGCUCCCUGCGCUUCACCUGGAGCAUGAAGACCACGAGCUCCAUGGACCCCAGUGACAUGAUGCGGGAGAUCCGCAAGGUGCUGGACGCCAAUAACUGCGACUACGAGCAGAGGGAGCGCUUCCUGCUCUUCUGUGUCCAUGGCGACGGGCACGCAGAGAACCUGGUACAGUGGGAAAUGGAAGUCUGUAAGCUGCCAAGACUGUCUCUGAAUGGAGUCCGGUUUAAGCGGAUAUCAGGGACAUCCAUAGCUUUCAAAAAUAUUGCUUCCAAAAUUGCCAAUGAGCUAAAGCUGUAACCCAGUAAUUAUGGUGUAAAUUAAGUAGCAAUUUAAGGUGUUUUCCAGAGCACUGAUGGAAAUGUAUAGAGUAAUAUUUAGGCAAUAACGUCUGCAUCUUCUAAAUCAUGACAUUAAAGUCUGAGGAUGAAAGCGAGCGCGCCUGGGAGCGAAGGCUGGCCUUCUCUACGAAUGCACUACAUUAAAGUCUGUGACCCCGUGCCUCUGUCUUGUUUCCAUUGCCCUGGGAGUCAGAGUGUAACACCAUCUGCACGCGGCUCCUUGUGUGGUGUGAGUGGAUGAUGUGUGGGGAGCACUGUUUUGGAAGCGGCUCCUCACACGGCAGCCAGCUUUACUAGUCCCUCUGUGGGAGAUCAUUUGGUGCUAAAACAUUACAGUUGCCAAGAAGGAAAAUAACUGAAUUACUGCUAAGAAUUAACCUUAAGGCUAGUUGAUAAUUAAUACAGGUUUACAGUUCAUGCCUGUGGUUUUGUGUUUGUUUCGUGAUUUUUUUUUUUGCUUUUUUUUUAAGUGCAAAAGGUUUAAAUUUAUAGUUGUGAACAUUGCUUGUGUGUGUUUUUCUAAGUAGAUUCACAAGAUAAUUAAAAAUUCACUUUUUCUCAGUAAAA
This is an RNA transcript of Mus musculus (house mouse), 3445 nucleotides long. It is a transcript of the gene named MAP/microtubule affinity regulating kinase 3, with no coding region annotated. NCBI's taxonomy places the organism in Eukaryota, Metazoa, Chordata, Mammalia, Rodentia, Muridae. The record is from RefSeq and is marked validated. The transcript is spliced from 18 exons.